UUUAGAGUUUGAUCCUGGCUCAGAACGAACGCUGGCGGCAGGCCUAACACAUGCAAGUCGAGCGAGAUCUUCGGAUCUAGCGGCGGACGGGUGAGUAACGCGUGGGGAUGUGCCCUUUGCUACGGAAUAGUCCCGGGAAACUGGGUUUAAUACCGUAUGAGCCCUUCGGGGGAAAGAUUUAUCGGCAAAGGAUCAACCCGCGUUGGAUUAGGUAGUUGGUGGGGUAAUGGCCUACCAAGCCGACGAUCCAUAGCUGGUUUGAGAGGAUGAUCAGCCACACUGGGACUGAGACACGGCCCAGACUCCUACGGGAGGCAGCAGUGGGGAAUCUUAGACAAUGGGGGCAACCCUGAUCUAGCCAUGCCGCGUGAACGAUGAAGGCCUUAGGGUUGUAAAGUUCUUUCAGCUGGGAAGAUAAUGACGGUACCAGCAGAAGAAGCUAGA
RNAcentral lists this ribosomal RNA (444 nucleotides) under Paracoccus sp. enrichment culture clone NKiF3GA1. RNAcentral's name for it is "bacterial SSU rRNA". It matches the Rfam family "Bacterial small subunit ribosomal RNA", at positions 1 to 495 of the family's 1533-position model. The record is from RNAcentral. Lineage: Bacteria; Pseudomonadati; Pseudomonadota; Alphaproteobacteria; Rhodobacterales; Paracoccaceae.